Molecule: ribosomal RNA, 1530 nt
Filed under: Salmonella enterica
Lineage: Bacteria; Pseudomonadati; Pseudomonadota; Gammaproteobacteria; Enterobacterales; Enterobacteriaceae
Description: bacterial SSU rRNA
Rfam family: Bacterial small subunit ribosomal RNA
Source: RNAcentral
AGAGUUUGAUCAUGGCUCAGAUUGAACGCUGGCGGCAGGCCUAACACAUGCAAGUCGAACGGUAACAGGAAGCAGCUUGCUGCUUCGCUGACGAGUGGCGGACGGGUGAGUAAUGUCUGGGAAACUGCCUGAUGGAGGGGGAUAACUACUGGAAACGGUGGCUAAUACCGCAUAACGUCGCAAGACCAAAGAGGGGGACCUUCGGGCCUCUUGCCAUCAGAUGUGCCCAGAUGGGAUUAGCUUGUUGGUGAGGUAACGGCUCACCAAGGCGACGAUCCCUAGCUGGUCUGAGAGGAUGACCAGCCACACUGGAACUGAGACACGGUCCAGACUCCUACGGGAGGCAGCAGUGGGGAAUAUUGCACAAUGGGCGCAAGCCUGAUGCAGCCAUGCCGCGUGUAUGAAGAAGGCCUUCGGGUUGUAAAGUACUUUCAGCGGGGAGGAAGGUGUUGUGGUUAAUAACCGCAGCAAUUGACGUUACCCGCAGAAGAAGCACCGGCUAACUCCGUGCCAGCAGCCGCGGUAAUACGGAGGGUGCAAGCGUUAAUCGGAAUUACUGGGCGUAAAGCGCACGCAGGCGGUCUGUCAAGUCGGAUGUGAAAUCCCCGGGCUCAACCUGGGAACUGCAUUCGAAACUGGCAGGCUUGAGUCUUGUAGAGGGGGGUAGAAUUCCAGGUGUAGCGGUGAAAUGCGUAGAGAUCUGGAGGAAUACCGGUGGCGAAGGCGGCCCCCUGGACAAAGACUGACGCUCAGGUGCGAAAGCGUGGGGAGCAAACAGGAUUAGAUACCCUGGUAGUCCACGCCGUAAACGAUGUCUACUUGGAGGUUGUGCCCUUGAGGCGUGGCUUCCGGAGCUAACGCGUUAAGUAGACCGCCUGGGGAGUACGGCCGCAAGGUUAAAACUCAAAUGAAUUGACGGGGGCCCGCACAAGCGGUGGAGCAUGUGGUUUAAUUCGAUGCAACGCGAAGAACCUUACCUGGUCUUGACAUCCACGGAAGUUUUCAGAGAUGAGAAUGUGCCUUCGGGAACCGUGAGACAGGUGCUGCAUGGCUGUCGUCAGCUCGUGUUGUGAAAUGUUGGGUUAAGUCCCGCAACGAGCGCAACCCUUAUCCUUUGUUGCCAGCGGUUAGGCCGGGAACUCAAAGGAGACUGCCAGUGAUAAACUGGAGGAAGGUGGGGAUGACGUCAAGUCAUCAUGGCCCUUACGACCAGGGCUACACACGUGCUACAAUGGCGCAUACAAAGAGAAGCGACCUCGCGAGAGCAAGCGGACCUCAUAAAGUGCGUCGUAGUCCGGAUUGGAGUCUGCAACUCGACUCCAUGAAGUCGGAAUCGCUAGUAAUCGUGGAUCAGAAUGCCACGGUGAAUACGUUCCCGGGCCUUGUACACACCGCCCGUCACACCAUGGGAGUGGGUUGCAAAAGAAGUAGGUAGCUUAACCUUCGGGAGGGCGCUUACCACUUUGUGAUUCAUGACUGGGGUGAAGUCGUAACAAGGUAACCGUAGGGGAACCUGCGGUUGGAUCACCU